This 372-nucleotide ribosomal RNA is filed under the name uncultured organism. Its description in RNAcentral is "bacterial SSU rRNA". It matches the Rfam family "Bacterial small subunit ribosomal RNA", at positions 527 to 896 of the family's 1533-position model. The record is from RNAcentral.
CGGAGGGGCAAGCGUUGUUCGGAAUUAUUGGGCGUAAAGGGCGCGUAGGCGGAUCUGUGUGUCUGACGUGAAAUCUCCACCACUUAACGGGGAGAGGUCGUUGGAAACUGCAGAUCUGGAGUUUGUCAGAGGACCAUGGAAUUCCAGGUGUAGCGGUGGAAUGCGUAGAUAUCUGGAAGAACACCGGUGGCGAAGGCGGUGGUCUGGGGCAAAACUGACGCUGAGGCGCGAAAGCCAGGGGAGCAAACGGGAUUAGAUACCCCGGUAGUCCUGGCCGUAAACGUUGGAUACUAGGUGUGGGGGGUAUCGACCCCCUCCGUGCCGAAGUUAACACAUUAAGUAUCCCGCCUGGGAAGUACGGCCGCAAGGUUG